UGGAAAUAAAACUACAUAUAUGCACACAACUGACCUCUGAAACAGUGAAAAUACAAAUAACUUGUUCAAUUGUACAAGAAAUCUUGGCAAAGUCUAAAAGCAUAGGCAGGUUGUUCUCAGCUCCUGAUCUGAGAGUAUGGAAGGAAAGAGUUCCUCAGUCAUGAAGAAUCCUGCUUUUGAAGGGCUGUCUUCCCUGGCAAAACAACAACCUCUGCUAAUGAGCGUGUUUGUUUCUGUGGUACAUCUGGUGAUUUGCUCUUACCACGUCGUUAUGGAGCAGUACGUGCCUGAGCCAUCAGACACCUGAUCAGUAUGCUGCAGUUCAUUUCACCCCAUCU
Molecule: long non-coding RNA, 338 nt
Organism: Prinia subflava (tawny-flanked prinia)
Lineage: Eukaryota; Metazoa; Chordata; Aves; Passeriformes; Cisticolidae
Exons: 3
Source: RefSeq, a predicted model, not a curated record